ACAUGCAAGUCGAACGAGAAGCUUGGAUUAUCUAAGGUGGAGAGUGGCGCACGGGUGAGUAACACAUGGCUGACCUGCCCCUCAGAGGGGGACAACCGGUGGAAACGCCGGCUAAUACCCCAUGCUUGCGUCCGGGUUAGAGGCCGGAUGCAGAAAGGCCGAUGCGCUGAGGGAGUGGGGCUGUGGACCAUCAGCUAGUUGGUAGGGUAACGGCCUACCAAGGCGAGGACGGAUAGGGGGCCUGAGAGGGUGACCCCCCACACGGGCACUGAGACACGGGCCCGACUCCUACGGGAGGCAGCAGUAAGGGAUAUUGCGACAAUGGGCGAAAGCCUGACGCAGCAACGCCGCGUGGAGGAUGAAGGCCUUCGGGUUGUAAACUCCUUUUCUGUGGGAAGAGGAAGGACGGUACCACAGGAAGAAGUCUCGGCUAACUACGUGCCAGCAGCCGCGGUAAAACGUAGGAGGCGAGCGUUAUCCGGAUUUACUGGGUGUAAAGCGCGUGCAGGCGGUCUGGUAAGUCGAGCGUGAAAGCUCCCGGCUCAACCGGGAGAGGACGUGCGAAACUGCGAGGCUAGAGACAGGUAGAGGCCGUACGGAAUUCCGGGUGUAGUGGUGAAAUGCGUAGAUAUCCGGAGGAACACCAGUGGCGAAGUGCGGUACGCUGGGCCUGGUCUGACGCUAAGACGCGAAAGCCUGGGGAGCGAACGGGAUUAGAAACCCCGGUAGUCCAUGCCGUUAACGAUUGCUAACUAGGUGUUGCGGGUAAAAGACCGGCAGUGCCGGAGUUAACGCGAUAAGUUAGCCACCUGGGGACUACGGUCGCAAGGAUAAAACUCAAAGGAAUUGACGGGGACCCGCACGAGCAGCGGAGCGUGUGGUCUAAUUCGAGGCUACACGAAGAACCUUACCUGGGCUGGACAUGACGGUGGUAGGGAACCGAAAGGGGACCGACCUUCGGGAGCCGCCACAGGUGCUGCAUGGCUGUCGUCAGCUCGUGUCGUGAGAUGUUCGCUUAAGUCCGGUAACGAGCGCAACCCUCAUCGCUAGUUACAAGUGUCUAGCGAGACUGCCCGUU
This 1078-nucleotide ribosomal RNA is filed under the name uncultured organism. RNAcentral describes it as "bacterial SSU rRNA". It matches the Rfam family "Bacterial small subunit ribosomal RNA", at positions 53 to 1157 of the family's 1533-position model. The record is from RNAcentral.